This 447-nucleotide ribosomal RNA is filed under the name uncultured bacterium. RNAcentral describes it as "bacterial SSU rRNA". It matches the Rfam family "Bacterial small subunit ribosomal RNA", at positions 330 to 794 of the family's 1533-position model. The record is from RNAcentral.
UCCAGACUCCUACGGGAGGCAGCAGUGGGGGAUAUUGCACAAUGGGGGCAACCCUGAUGCAGCGACGCCGCGUGAGCGAUGGAGUACUUCGGUAUGUAAAGCUCUGUCAGCAGGGAAGAGAAUGACGGUACCUGACCAAGAAGCCCCGGCUAAAUACGUGCCAGCAGCCGCGGUAAUACGUAUGGGGCAAGCGUUAUCCGGAUUUACUGGGUGUAAAGGGGGCGCAGACGGCGAUGCAAGCCAGGAGUGAAAGCCCGGGGCCCAACCCCGGGACUGCUCUUGGAACUGCGUGGCUAGAGUGCAGGAGGGGCAGGCGGAAUUCCUGGUGUAGCGGUGAAAUGCGUAGAUAUCAGGAGGAACACCGGUGGCGAAGGCGGCCUGCUGGACUGCAACUGACGUUGAGGCCCGAAAGCGUGGGGAGCAAACAGGAUUAGAUACCCGCGUAAA